RNAcentral lists this long non-coding RNA (1258 nucleotides) under Diabrotica virgifera virgifera (western corn rootworm). RNAcentral describes it as "uncharacterized LOC126888333". Lineage: Eukaryota; Metazoa; Arthropoda; Insecta; Coleoptera; Chrysomelidae. The record is from RNAcentral.
CCUCGGUCUCUCAUUUAAAUUCUCGUAUAGGACCACUGAGGUGACGUCAUACCUCGGUGAUGGAACGUACUCCACCUGUCGAGAAUUAUUCGGGUUCUGAGAGAAUUUGACGUUUACCUUGGCGGAGAAACGCCUCUCGUUCUUUACUUGACUGUGAGCUGUGGUGUCGAAUAGAUAUACCAUAUAGAAUGGCGGAUGAUUUCCUCCAACUUAUUUUAUCACAUAAGAAAUUUAACGUAAAGUAAAAAGUUACCACCAGGGAUUGUCUGGAGUGAGGAGACAUGUGGGUGACAACUCCUGUUGGAGUAUAAAUAGGAAUCAUUCGCCAUUUGGGAGAAACCCUACCAUGAAGUCCUAGACCUUAUUUGACCACCUUGGGAAACCACUACAGCCACAGUCAAGUCAUCAUUGGGUAGUAAUUUUGGGAACAAGCUAUGGGAGCGUUCCAGCUCAAUUUUCGUCUUGGCACCUGGGCCUACAGGAGUCAUGGGGCCGCACCAUCCUGGUGCAUCAUUUUCUAGGAUGUAACCGCAACCUCGUUUGGGAACAUUUAGUGAGGUGUUUUAGUAACUAUUGGUUUUUUUUAUAUUUCAGACUAUCUGUUAAAUACACUAUGUUUUUUUUCCAGAUUUAGGUUACCUCUGGUUUGUUUUUUGACAUAUUUGUAUAUUAGAUUAUUUGGUUCCCAAACUUUGUAUCUACGGUAACUUCUUGUGCACAGGAAUAAGCCUAGAGAAAAUUAGGGUUUUAAUACUUUAUUAUUGCUUUGAUAUUGGUUUAUGUAAUUCGGGUAAAUUUAUUUUGUAAUAUUACUAGCUUGUUUCCCAAAUAUUUUACUGUCAUUCGCUUUAUUCCAUUUGUUCGGUUAAUUUAGGCCAUCGUCGGUAUUUAUCUCAACUUCAUUUCUACUUUAGUCAAUUGUAUAUUUAACUUUAUUUAUUCAUUAUUGUAUUUUCCCUUAGUGAGGCUUGGGCCUAUUUAUUUGUAUUAUUUUCAUCUUUGUCGGUUUCAAUUCAGUUGUACGUAGCAGGCGUACUAUAACCAUUUGGUAGAAGACUUAUGUAAUUUUGUACCCUAUAUGUAAGUAAGAGGUACUAAUACCUGUAAUUUUGUAACAGAUAACAUUAUUGUUGUUAUCUUAGAGAUGACUUUUUGUAUAACUUAUGUCAUUUUAGAGUCACAUGAUAUACACUUUGUGUAACUCAGAGAUUGUCAAAAAUCUAGUAGUUAUUUUUAAUAAAUAUGUAUUUAUUUUGUA